GACUGUGAGGAAUGGAAGAAAAUAGGAAAAGGUUGUCUUUUCGCUUAGGGAAAAUACAAUGGACAACUUCUUCAUUCUUUAAAAAAAACUAUAUUAGUUUGUUCAGCAGAAUUAGGUCUGUAUUUUUGUUUAAAAAUAAGCUGACAUUUCAGGAGAACAUUACAUUUUUUAUAAGAAUGGCCACAAGUAGCUGUACACAAGUACAGCUCUGUUGUAAAACCCAUCUGCAAGCAAUGGAAUGUUAAAAAUUUUAGAGAAUGCUUUAAAAUGACCUUUAAAAUUUGUGCUGUAUACAUGCGGAUCUGUCCAUGAAGAAGUACCUUCUGUUAAAGUCUUGUGAAUAAAAGUGUUGUGAUUUUUAGUGGGUUUUUUAAAAGUACCAAUAAAAGUCAUGUUUACCAUAACCUUUAUGUUUCAGUAAUUGCAGAAGGGCAAACUGUCUAUAAUUUGGUUUUACUCCCAGCUAUUUUUAUAUGAAGAGUUAUGCCCACAGUAUUUGCAAUCCCCAUCUCGAAGCUCUGAACCUAUCUGAAGUGAAAAGUGGUCCAGACUUCGAUUCUUGCGCGUCGGCUGAGCGCCACACAAACGGAGCUUUAACAAACCCCGACUUUACCGCGCUUUUAGAAUCGGUUUUACUUUCAGCAGUCAAAUACACAACAAGUCAGCAAGGCAGUCCUAACCUGUCGUUCUGGAAAUACCGGUGGCACCGAGGAAACGCGUUGCUGCUUUUUGUGUUUGCCGCUUUUGUGUCUGGUCUGAUACAACUUGCUGGAUGUGUCACCAUGAGCAGUAAAGGAAUGCACGGGGCAAGCGCUUUUUUUGUUUGGUUGUUUUUUUUUCCCCCGACCUUUUUUUCUCUAGAUCUGUUCUUUGGGAGCGGGUUAUUGUUUCCCGGGGUUGGAGGUUUUCCAACGUUUGGCUGCCUGUAGCAUUUGCUAAUUGUUAAUCCCUGCUUGUUCCUCCACAAUACUUGUGUAUGAAUUCCAUUUGCUUAGUAAAAAGCUUUCCUGAGCAAACUUGCAAGAUAAAACCAAACCCGAAAUGGAGAGAGUUCGGAGAGCAGUGAGGAGGAAACCUCAGCCUGCUUUGUGCUGCGUGCCAGCCUUGGGGUAAGUCCUACCUUGAUCUUUAAAGACCUGAUUUUCCUGUCGAAGGCCGACUUCGGCAGCGGUGGCAUCCUGCUUUUGCACCUGCACCAGUGACACGUGUGCCUUUGAACGGGCUUCAAAUCUCGCAGCUUUGCCACUCCCAGUACUUCCUUCAGCUUCCAGGUAGCCGGUGUUACUCAGCCCCUCGCCGGCUGGCGCACGUUGUUCUCUUCCCGAAAUGCGAAUCGUGCGAUGCGUUCCCGGGCAGUGACCCUUCUGGCGGGGUGCCUGGCGUUUUGGUGGGCACAGAGCUUGCUCUCAGGAUGGAGGUGGUCAGGUUUUGAGGACUUCGUUGCUUUCGGCUUUGGCAUAAUCCAGACCUGUUAAUUCUCGCCUGGGUUAAUUGGUGUUUGUAAAGCACUUUGUAACCCUCAGUGGACAGGUGCUGGACACGCGUAAACCUUUUCUAGGUGCUGCGGGUGUGCUGACGGCUGCUGCUGGACUGUGGGUGUCUGGUGCCCCACAGCCUGUGUGAUUUUUCAGUUACUGCAUUGGCAUACUCUGGAUCUUAAAUUAUCCAGUAUUACUUCUCUAAACAGCUGUGAAAGCAGACGAAGAUCUUAAGGAGGAAGGGGAGUUAAAUAUUACCGUUGCUCAGUGUUGUUGUUCGCUGCUUUAAUGGGGUGUUUAGGCAGCAAUUCCUCCAAAGAUGUUUUUGCAGAGAAGUAUCAGUCCUCCAGCCCCAUCAUCAUUAGAUGAUUGGAAGCCAGAGGUGCCUAUCUAAGCCAGCACCAAAACUCUGCUGUUUUAUUACUCUGGAGACCCAAGACCUGUGGGAAGAGGUAACCUAUGAUUAGAAUUCUGGGGCCAACACCACAAAGAACAUUUCAUCUUGUAUUUCCUCUUGGCUUGAGAAACAGAGUUUGUCCUGCUGAGCAUUGGGAGGACCCUUUAAAAGGCACUGUCAGGCAGCUGGGCCCGGGUGGGAGCUCUUGGUUUCUGCGGUUGCAGUUGGAAGAAGAUGCUGUAGGUAACCGGGGAGCUUUGCACCGUCAGGUAAGGAGAUGGGAUGCAGCAUCAGACUAGGAUCAGCGAUCUACCAACUAAAUAAACCUGGGGGGGGGGAUGCCUGUCGUAGCAGCAAUGUGUUUAAUGUCUGCAGCAACUCGGUGUUUGAUGCAGUCGGAAAAAAACCUCCUCAUGUUUAGAUGUGUCUUUUGGUCUGUUUUAGAAGUCGGAGCCCGAUUUGUCACCAGGUGGCAGCAUGGGAGAAGGAAAGGUUUCAUUUUCCUCUCCUGGAAAAAACGCCCGAAUGUUUCUUCUUUUCCCAAGUGGAGAGAAAGAUGGUGUUGUACAGGGCUCCCCAGGUGACUGUUCCAUGGAAAAUGACUGAAAAGUGACUGCAACUGCUGAAGAAAUGGAGUAUGAGACGUCAGUGCAGCGAAGAGGUUGACAUCUGGUAACAGAACACGGGAGCGUGAAGUAUCUCAGCAGCCAUGAAGCUGGCGAGGACUUUGUUCCGUUACUCCCGAGUCCUGUGCGGUAGCUGGGCCCCUGCAAAUGUGAGUGUUACCUGUGGAAGAUGCUGAGCCGGGUUCUGCCUUUGUGACGUUAUUCACACUGGCAAUCAAUAGUUUGUGGUAUUUCUUUUCUUCCCCUUUUUAUAUUGUCUCUUGGGUUUUACUUUAAAAAAGUUCCUCCUCAAGUUUGCUUCUUUUUUCUGAUAUUCUGCUGCUAAAAGAUGUAGGGUACCUAAUUUUUCGGUCCCCUAAAGAGGAAUUCCGGUUGUAGUUUAUCCUGAGGUACUGCUGCUGGCGGUUUAACAGAUGAGUUAAACUACUGAAUGGUGUAGUAUUUGAAGUGUCACUUUCUUCUUAAUAACCCUAGAAUAAAAACAUUUUCAGGAUGGCAGGAUAACUCCCUGAACUUGGUGUGAAAUCUGUGGUUGUCAGGCUAAUCUGGAGUGAACUGCCAGGAUCCAUCUGGGCAGGGGUGGCAGAAGGAACUGUCUCCCCUGGGGUCCUGGGACAACUCCUUUUUCUCAGUCUCUGUUAUCCUGGUGUGGAGGAGGCAGAUACUAAAGGCAUCGCAGGCCAGGACACUGUUGGAGAGUCUCUUGCACCGUAAACACCCGACUCUGAAAGGCCUGCGAGGAUGGAGGAAGCGAAAGCCCUCUGCCCAACUUGGCUUACUGGAAGUGCCAUGUGAAAAUACCAGUUACAGCAGGGAAAAGUUACUACCUGACCAUGAAAUUUAGCUUUAUUGCAUGCAUGGCAUCUGGCAUGGAAGAUCUGAGUAAGUGAGGAGGGACAAAAAGUCGUUAAAUACAGUUUAUUUCUCCUGCCACCACACACAUCAUUAAAUAACAAAAGCUGGUUUGUCAGAGCACUUGACUGUCGUUACCAGUCAGUUAAUGCUAAAAGAAAUUAAAAUACUUCCAACAGGAAACAAUACUCAGAUGAUCUUUCUACGAACAUCAGUUUUAGCCAGGUCCUGGACUGCCUUUAAGAGCUUUAAAGUCACUUGAGGGGAGCUUAAUCCUCCUGUGGAGUAUUGUAACUUUUUUUUUUUUUUUUAAGGUGUCUCAGAGCUUGUUAGUGCACUCUCCUAUUCACCAUGUAGUAGUUGUUCUUUUUUUUUAGUGUGGGUCAGUCCUAAGGUUUUCAGGAACUUUUAUCUGUGAAUCUGACAGUUCCCAUCUGGAAAAAAAAUAUCCUUUCCCCCCACUUAAUCCGUCUUCAGUCUGGAUCUUUGUUGGAAUUAAUGUGGCCAAGUGCAGUUCUCCCCAGGUGACAGGCACAGCUGAAGUAAACACAAACCCCAACUCAGGUUGCAAUCCCCAGAAGAUGUUUGUAGCUACAGUCACCCGAGGCGCAGCGCAGAGGAUUAGAUGUGAAACACUUUUAACUGCGUCGACAGCCAAACUCUGUGCUUGGUGUAAUAUUUGUUUGCAGUCGGCAACUGCUGGUGGGUGCUGAACAGCCUGUUCUUAGUCUUUUGAAAAGAGAUUUAAGGAAUAAACUUGCAACUAAACCCUCUUACUAUUUAUUCUCCCUUCCGUACUUAACUCUUAAACUUUGAGGGGCACAGCAGAGUGGUUAAUCCCUGAGCUAGCACCAGUUACCAUCCAGGAUUAC
Molecule: long non-coding RNA, 4225 nt
Organism: Athene cunicularia (burrowing owl)
Lineage: Eukaryota; Metazoa; Chordata; Aves; Strigiformes; Strigidae
Exons: 3
Source: RefSeq, a predicted model, not a curated record